CCUGAAUUCGAAAGGGGUUGGAUUCAGAUCCUACCGUUCGCAUACUAGGCAGCCCCACUGCGGAUGGUGCCGGUCGCCCGCGGCGAUUAAUUUCGUUUGCGGUGUCGUUUCUGGCGUCCACCCGGUGGUGGCUGACCACCUUCGCGGAGGGUCGCACUUCUCCCCUAGUAGAAACGUCGCGACCCGUUGGGUGCCGGCCGAAGGCCCGGGAAGGAAGCCCGCGCAUCCUGUGGUGGUUGCCACAGGCGUGCGGACUCCCGGUGACCCGGCCGGCUGCCCGACGGUAUGACCAGAGGAGCCGAUCCGCUGAAUGGGAAACACUGUGGUUUGUGAAGCGUGCGGCCUGGCGCCGAUACGUGCGGGGAUUGAGGUGUAAACCGGGGGUGCCCGUGCGAAGCACGGUCCCGGCCCCGCUGCGUCGUCGGUUGCCGGUGUCCUCGCACUGGAUCGAUACUCCCGUCUGCGACGCCCAUCUUCGGAUGGUCUCCCGCCUGGGUCUUGAAUCAACGUACUAUUCUUCNCACAACAUUUCNUAGGACUNGNUGGAAUGCCACGUCGAUAUAUUGACUAUCCAGAUAUAUUCUUAUUGUGAAAUAUCUUAUCAUCAAUGGGAGCAAUAAUCUCAGCCUUAAGAAUAAUAGCAUUCUUUNC
This 651-nucleotide ribosomal RNA is filed under the name Phyllium jacobsoni. Its description in RNAcentral is "partial 28S ribosomal RNA". Lineage: Eukaryota; Metazoa; Arthropoda; Insecta; Phasmatodea; Phylliidae. The record is from RNAcentral.